AAAAGGGUAAAGAAUAUUGCGAGAAAAGAAAAUAUAUAAACAGUAGUUUUUUUUAUCUCUUUC
RNAcentral lists this small RNA (63 nucleotides) under Salix viminalis (osier). The record is from RNAcentral. Lineage: Eukaryota; Viridiplantae; Streptophyta; Magnoliopsida; Malpighiales; Salicaceae.